Molecule: long non-coding RNA, 462 nt
Filed under: Gallus gallus (chicken)
Lineage: Eukaryota; Metazoa; Chordata; Aves; Galliformes; Phasianidae
Description: long non-coding RNA NONGGAT001055
Source: RNAcentral
GUGUCCUUACCCAUGGCAGAGAAACUAGGUUACCUUUAAAGUUUCCUUUGAACACAAAGCAUUCCAUGAUUCUAUGAAUUUAGCCAUUACUGGGAGCUGUGAAAAUUUCACCAAGGAUACAAAAUUGCCAUGAAAAGAUCUAUGUAUUUUCUAACUUCCAAAUACGAAGUUACUCCACAUGCAUUUAAUCACUGUGUAUUUCUGUGUGUACGUUGUGAGCCCUGGGAAAACGUCCAGCAACCGAAGGAAAAACCGAAGGUUAAAUGAGAUCAAGUAACAAUGCUUUGGCUUUGGACAUGGAACAUGAAGAAGAGUUCCCACAACUGAAGUGGUUCAUGUGACAAGUGUCAAGUUUACACAACAAUAGAGGAAUGUCAUGCACAACUGUCAUCUGGAGCCUUCUUUGUGAAUAGAAUUUGCAUUUUGUCAUGGUAUCAACGUCCCAGUCUCCACUGUGCCUGA